AGAAUGGUUUAUUGUUUACUGUUUUAGGCCUUUGGUGGGUAACCAUCAUAUGAUAGGGCUGGGAGGCAAAACUGGGAUCUAAAAUCUGGAGCUAAGGAUUCUUCAAUCAAAAACCACACACUCAUGUAGCCAUCUUUGUGAGAUUUACUUUCAUAACUUGGUCUUGCUCUUGCACUUCAGGUUUUUAAUCUUCAUGGCAGGAAAAGCAAAGGUGAACUCGCAUGCAGAUUUAGCAACAGCAUGCUUCUUGAAUACCCCCAGGAAAUUAAUCCGCCCUGGAAUUCUUGUACGUGUUUCCAUAACAAGUUGUCCAGACAAUAUGUCACCGAUCAAGCUUAUCAGAUUUGAUGCUAACUCAUCCACCUCUAUAGUAAGCCUGCACGGAGUCGUCGUUGACCCCCUAGAGGGUAUAACACCCGGGUCCAGGUCUACUUCUCCCACCUCUUUUGCAUGGUAAAGAAUAAAACUCUUUCCAGGGCCGUGCUUGAAGCUGGCAUAAUUUCGGUUUUGGAUUCGAAGCGUGAGGUUAAGGGUGAUGUUGAGUUCAAUAUUGAUAACUGGGAAUGAGAUGCGAGGAGAAACGCCUUCUAGGGAAGCUGAGAUAACCUGGACCUUAGGUUCUUUAGCCUUGAACACUGUCAAAGCUAGGAUGAGAAUGACUAUGAAUAGGAUGAAGAAUAAAAGUAGAAUCGAACCACCAACGAUGAGGCAACAGCGGCGGCGCCUCCGUGGCUUAGGGAGUGGCUGAUCGCCAUUUUCUUUCAUUGAGAUUGACAAGAAGAGUGGUGUUAUCCUGUUGUGGGUUGCAACUUGCAGGGGAGGGACGGGAAACGGUUAGAGAAUUAUAAGGUGAUGUGAAUGAGUGGAAGCCAUAAAUGCAGUGAUGGGUCAGAUUCAGAUACAAAGACAGAUAGCUAACCGCUUAAAGCUUAACACUAGCGUUGGUCAUGGGUGGGCUAGUUGGGCGUUGGGGGCUUUUAAUUUUCACAAUUAUCACCCUAAUUCCUAG
Molecule: unclassified non-coding RNA, 1009 nt
Filed under: Hevea brasiliensis (rubber tree)
Lineage: Eukaryota; Viridiplantae; Streptophyta; Magnoliopsida; Malpighiales; Euphorbiaceae
Source: RNAcentral